This 464-nucleotide ribosomal RNA is filed under the name uncultured bacterium. RNAcentral describes it as "partial 16S ribosomal RNA". It matches the Rfam family "Bacterial small subunit ribosomal RNA", at positions 28 to 507 of the family's 1533-position model. The record is from RNAcentral.
GACGAACGCUGGCGGCGUGCUUAACACAUGCAAGUCGAACGGAAAGGCCCAGCUUGCUGGGUGCUCGAGUGGCGAACGGGUGAGUAACACGUGGGUGAUCUGCCCCUAACUUCGGGAUAAGCUUGGGAAACUGGGCCUAAUACCGGAUAGGACAAUCGUUUAGUGUCGGUUGUGGAAAGUUUUUUCGGUUAGGGAUGAGCCCGCGGCCUAUCAGCUUGUUGGUGGGGUAAUGGCCUACCAAGGCGUCGACGGGUAGCCGGCCUGAGAGGGUGGACGGCCACAUUGGGACUGAGAUACGGCCCAGACUCCUACGGGAGGCAGCAGUGGGGAAUAUUGCACAAUGGGCGCAAGCCUGAUGCAGCGACGCCGCGUGGGGGAUGACGGCCUUCGGGUUGUAAACCUCUUUCGACAGGGACGAAGCUUUGGUGACGGUACCUGUAUAAGAAGCACCGGCUAACUACGUG